Molecule: ribosomal RNA, 497 nt
Filed under: uncultured bacterium
Lineage: Bacteria
Description: partial 16S ribosomal RNA
Rfam family: Bacterial small subunit ribosomal RNA
Source: RNAcentral
GAUGAACGCUGGCGGCGUGCCUAAUACAUGCAAGUCGAGCGAACAGACGAGGAGCUUGCUCCUCUGACGUUAGCGGCGGACGGGUGAGUAACACGUGGAUAACCUACCUAUAAGACUGGGAUAACUUCGGGAAACCGGAGCUAAUACCGGAUAAUAUAUUGAACCGCAUGGUUCAAUAGUGAAAGACGGUCUUGCUGUCACUUAUAGAUGGGUCCGCGCUGCAUUAGCUAGUUGGUAAGGUAACGGCUUACCAAGGCAACGAUGCGUAGCCGACCUGAGAGGGUGAUCGGCCACACUGGAACUGAGACACGGUCCAGACUCCUACGGGAGGCAGCAGUAGGGAAUCUUCCGCAAUGGGCGAAAGCCUGACGGAGCAACGCCGCGUGAGUGAUGAAGGUCUUCGGAUCGUAAAACUCUGUUAUUAGGGAAGAACAAAUGUGUAAGUAACUGUGCACAUCUUGACGGUACCUAAUCAGAAAGCCACGGCUAACUACGUG